Molecule: ribosomal RNA, 456 nt
Filed under: Streptococcus sanguinis
Lineage: Bacteria; Bacillati; Bacillota; Bacilli; Lactobacillales; Streptococcaceae
Description: bacterial SSU rRNA
Rfam family: Bacterial small subunit ribosomal RNA
Source: RNAcentral
GACGAACGCUGGCGGCGUGCCUAAUACAUGCAAGUAGAACGCUGAAGAGAGGAGCUUGCUCUUCUUGGAUGAGUUGCGAACGGGUGAGUAACGCGUAGGUAACCUGCCUGGUAGCGGGGGAUAACUAUUGGAAACGAUAGCUAAUACCGCAUAAAAUUGAUUAUUGCAUGAUAAUUAAUUGAAAGAUGCAACUGCAUCACUACCAGAUGGACCUGCGUUGUAUUAGCUAGUUGGUGAGGUAACGGCUCACCAAGGCGACGAUACAUAGCCGACCUGAGAGGGUGAUCGGCCACACUGGGACUGAGACACGGCCCAGACUCCUACGGGAGGCAGCAGUAGGGAAUCUUCGGCAAUGGGGGGAACCCUGACCGAGCAACGCCGCGUGAGUGAAGAAGGUUUUCGGAUCGUAAAGCUCUGUUGUAAGAGAAGAACGGGUGUGAGAGUGGAAAGUUCACA